Molecule: ribosomal RNA, 425 nt
Filed under: uncultured bacterium
Lineage: Bacteria
Description: partial 16S ribosomal RNA
Rfam family: Bacterial small subunit ribosomal RNA
Source: RNAcentral
GUGGGGAAUCUUGCGCAAUGGGCGAAAGCCUGACGCAGCCAUGCCGCGUGAAUGAUGAAGGUCUUAGGAUUGUAAAAUUCUUUCACCGGGGACGAUAAUGACGGUACCCGGAGAAGAAGCUCCGGCUAACUUCGUGCCAGCAGCCGCGGUAAUACGAAGGGGGCUAGCGUUGCUCGGAAUUACUGGGCGUAAAGGGCGCGUAGGCGGACAGCUUAGUCAGAGGUGAAAGCCCAGGGCUCAACCUUGGAAUUGCCUUUGAUACUGGCUGUCUUGAGUUUGGGAGAGGUGAGUGGAACUCCGAGUGUAGAGGUGAAAUUCGUAGAUAUUCGGAAGAACACCAGUGGCGAAGGCGACUCAGUGGCCCAAUACUGACGCUGAGGCGCGAAAGCGUGGGGAGCAAACAGGAUUAGAAACCCGUGUAGUCC